GUCUCUGUGGUGUAGUGGUAGAGCACGCGGCCCCGGAUAGGACGAAAUGCGGGUUCGAUUCCGGCUUGAGGCC
Parelaphostrongylus tenuis is the source of this 73-nucleotide non-coding RNA. The record is from the annotation of a GenBank genome assembly. NCBI's taxonomy places the organism in Eukaryota, Metazoa, Nematoda, Chromadorea, Rhabditida, Metastrongylidae.